RNAcentral lists this transfer RNA (94 nucleotides) under Candida tropicalis MYA-3404. Its description in RNAcentral is "Candida tropicalis tRNA CTRG_06339". It matches the Rfam family "tRNA". From Rfam's summary of the family: Transfer RNA (tRNA) molecules are approximately 80 nucleotides in length. Their secondary structure includes four short double-helical elements and three loops (D, anti-codon, and T loops). The record is from Rfam by way of RNAcentral. Lineage: Eukaryota; Fungi; Ascomycota; Pichiomycetes; Serinales; Debaryomycetaceae.
UCCUUCAUAGUGUAGUGGCUAUCACGGUUCGCUUUCAAGCUUGUAAGAGUUUAAAAGUUCCGAGCAGACCGGGGUUCGAUUCCCCGUGAGGGAG